AACGUAGGAGGCGAGCGUUAUCCGGAUUUACUGGGUGUAAAGCGCGUGCAGGCGGUGGGACAAGUUAACUGUGAAAGCGCCCGGCUCAACCGGGCGAGGACAGUUAAGACUGUUCGACUAGAGGCAGGUAGAGGUGUGUGGAAUUCCGGGUGUAGUGGUGAAAUGCGUAGAGAUCCGGAGGAACACCAGUGGCGAAGGCGACACACUGGGCCUGGCCUGACGCUCAGACGCGAAAGCAUGGGGAGCGAACGGGAUUAGAUACCCCCGUAGUCC
RNAcentral lists this ribosomal RNA (273 nucleotides) under uncultured prokaryote. RNAcentral describes it as "partial 16S ribosomal RNA". It matches the Rfam family "Bacterial small subunit ribosomal RNA", at positions 524 to 796 of the family's 1533-position model. The record is from RNAcentral.